CUACGGGACGCUCCAGUGAGGAAUAUUGCACAAUGGGGGGAACCCUGAUGCAGCAACGCCGCGUGGAGGAUGACGCAUUUCGGUGUGUAAACUCCUUUUAUAUGUCAAGAAAAUGACGGUAGCAUAUGAAUAAGCACCGGCUAACUCCGUGCCAGCAGCCGCGGUAAUACGGAGGGUGCAAGCGUUACUCGGAAUCACUGGGCGUAAAGGACGCGUAGGCGGGUUGGAAAGUCAGGUGUGAAAUCCUACAGCUUAACUGUAGAACUGCACUUGAAACUUCUAGUCUGGAGUAUGGGAGGGGGAGAUGGAAUUAGUGGUGUAGGGGUAAAAUCCGUAGAUAUCACUAGGAAUACCUAAAGCGAAGGCGAUCUCCUGGAACAUUACUGACGCUAAGGCGUGAAAGCGUGGGGAGCAAACAGGAUUAGAUACCCCGGUAGUC
RNAcentral lists this ribosomal RNA (439 nucleotides) under uncultured bacterium. RNAcentral's name for it is "partial 16S ribosomal RNA". It matches the Rfam family "Bacterial small subunit ribosomal RNA", at positions 339 to 795 of the family's 1533-position model. The record is from RNAcentral.